AGCGAACGCUGGCGGCAGGCUUAACACAUGCAAGUCGAGCGGGCGUAGCAAUACGUCAGCGGCAGACGGGUGAGUAACGCGUGGGAACGUACCUUUUGGUUCGGAACAACACAGGGAAAC
Molecule: ribosomal RNA, 120 nt
Filed under: uncultured bacterium
Lineage: Bacteria
Description: partial 16S ribosomal RNA
Rfam family: Bacterial small subunit ribosomal RNA
Source: RNAcentral